GGAGGGGUGUCCGAGCGGUUGAAGGAGGCGGUCUUGAAAACCGUUGAGCCUUUGCGGGUUCCGUGGGUUCGAAUCCCACCCCCUCCGCCA
Molecule: transfer RNA, 90 nt
Filed under: Desulfitispora alkaliphila
Lineage: Bacteria; Bacillati; Bacillota; Desulfitisporia; Desulfitisporales; Desulfitisporaceae
Also listed under: 1 other name
Description: tRNA-Ser
Rfam family: tRNA
About the family: Transfer RNA (tRNA) molecules are approximately 80 nucleotides in length.
Source: RNAcentral